CUGUGAGCGGGCUUGCUCGCGAAUGCGGUGUGUCAGCGGACCGUUCCAUCACUGAUACACCGCAUUCGCGAGCAAGCCCGCUCCCAC
Molecule: unclassified non-coding RNA, 87 nt
Filed under: Pseudomonas yamanorum
Lineage: Bacteria; Pseudomonadati; Pseudomonadota; Gammaproteobacteria; Pseudomonadales; Pseudomonadaceae
Source: RNAcentral